ACUUUGAGAGGCCAAGGUGGGUGGAUCACCUGAGGUCAGGAAUUCAAGACCAGCCUGGCCAACAUGGUGAAAACCUGACUCUACUGAAAAUACAAAAAUUAGCUGGAUGUGGUGGCGCAUGCCUGUAAUCCCAGCUACUGGGGCAGCUGAGGCGGGAGAAUCGCUUGAACCCAGGACGCACAGGUUGCAGUGAGCCGAGAUCACACCACUGUAUUCCAGCCUGGGUGACAGAGUGAGACUCCAUCUGAAAAAAAAAAAAAAGAAAGUGAUUCCAUGUUUUCUG
Molecule: long non-coding RNA, 283 nt
Filed under: Homo sapiens (human)
Lineage: Eukaryota; Metazoa; Chordata; Mammalia; Primates; Hominidae
Description: non-protein coding lnc-SRRM1-3:1
Source: RNAcentral